UACGUAGGGCGCAAGCGUUGUCCGGAAUUAUUGGGCGUAAAGAGCUCGUAGGUGGCGUGUCGCGUCUGCCGUGAAAGCCCAUGGCUUAACUGUGGGUCUGCGGUGGAUACGGGCAGGCUAGAGGCUGGUAGGGGCAAGCGGAAUUCCUGGUGUAGCGGUGAAAUGACGCAGAUAUCAGGAGGAACACCGGUGGCGAAGGCGGCUUGCUGGGCCAGUUCUGACGCUGAGGAGCGAAAGCGUGGGGAGCGAACAGG
RNAcentral lists this ribosomal RNA (254 nucleotides) under uncultured bacterium. RNAcentral describes it as "partial 16S ribosomal RNA". It matches the Rfam family "Bacterial small subunit ribosomal RNA", at positions 524 to 776 of the family's 1533-position model. The record is from RNAcentral.